GCCCGAGUGGUGAAAUUGGUAGACACACUAUCUUGAGGGGGUAGCGCUCACAAGGCGUGCCGGUUCGAAUCCGGCCUCGGGCACCA
This 86-nucleotide transfer RNA is filed under the name bacterium. RNAcentral describes it as "tRNA-Leu". It matches the Rfam family "tRNA". Rfam says of the family: Transfer RNA (tRNA) molecules are approximately 80 nucleotides in length. Their secondary structure includes four short double-helical elements and three loops (D, anti-codon, and T loops). Further hydrogen bonds mediate the characteristic L-shaped molecular structure. tRNAs have two regions of fundamental functional importance: the anti-codon, which is responsible for specific mRNA codon recognition, and the 3' end, to which the tRNAs corresponding amino acid is attached (by aminoacyl-tRNA synthetases). tRNAs cope with the degeneracy of the genetic code in two manners: having more than one tRNA (with a specific anti-codon) for a particular amino acid; and 'wobble' base-pairing, i.e. permitting non-standard base-pairing at the 3rd anti-codon position. The record is from RNAcentral.